Molecule: long non-coding RNA, 866 nt
Filed under: Elaeis guineensis (African oil palm)
Lineage: Eukaryota; Viridiplantae; Streptophyta; Magnoliopsida; Arecales; Arecaceae
Description: long non-coding RNA (EGUI_LNC082864)
Source: RNAcentral
UGAGCAAGUCCCUUAGCACCUGAUUCUCGAGCCAAGGUGAGGAUUGAUAUUUAGGGUGUUAAAUUAGUCAUCAGUAGAGGUAAGGAUCCAUGGAUAUGAUCAUCAAUAUAUUGUAUUUGUUUAUGCAUCGCAUAUUUUGGUUCUUGUGGUUAGUAUAUGUUUUGUGAUUAUCGGCAUGAUUGAUUGUAUUCUCUAUAUUAUAUGAUAUCAAAUAUUGAUGAUUUUUUAGACGAUUUGGAUUAUGACACGGGUUAUUGAAAAUCUUGAAAAGAAAAUAAUAUGAUACAGUAUUUUUUGGUAUUAUUAAGAUUUAUGAAUUCAUGAUCAAGAAAGGGAUGUUUGGACUAAUCGUGUUAAAUUGAGAAUAGUCCACCAUGGAUAGAAACAUGGCACCCCAUCAUUGAUAAGAACAUGGCCAAGUGAAUAGCCCACCAUGGGCAAGAAUAUGACACUAAAAAUAGCCCCACCACAAUGGGAACAUAGUAUUUGAGUUUGCUGUCAUGAACUGAAACAUAACCACGAUUAGUCCAAAUUCCUAAAAUUAAUUAUUGAUUGAUCUAGAUCAUAUCAAUGAGAAAUGUUUUUAUGAUUAUCCAUAAUGUAUACUAUAUACUUAUAUAAUUGUUGAGUUACAAUGGAUGCAUGAUAUGAGGCUUUAUGGUUUAUAAUUUUCUUUGUUACUAUUUAGUUAUUAUUUUUGAAUCAUAUUAUUAUACUGGUGUAGUUAUAUGAGAUUUUUUACUGGGCUAUAAACCUCACUCCCCUCAUAGUUAUCUUUUCUUUUAAAGACAUAGGAUGCAUAGUGUUGAUCAGAUUGAGUGUGAAGUUCGAGUGCUGGAUUUAUUAGUUCAUUAGUUAGAUCAAUU